RNAcentral lists this ribosomal RNA (253 nucleotides) under uncultured prokaryote. Its description in RNAcentral is "partial 16S ribosomal RNA". It matches the Rfam family "Bacterial small subunit ribosomal RNA", at positions 525 to 777 of the family's 1533-position model. The record is from RNAcentral.
ACGGAGGAUGCAAGCGUUAUCCGGAAUGAUUGGGCGUAAAGAGUCCGUAGGUGGCGAUUCAAGUCUAUUGUCAAAGAGCGAGGCUUAACUUCGCUAAGGCCGUAGAAACUGAAAAGCUAGAGAGCAGUAGGGGCAGAAGGAAUUCCUGGUGUAGCGGUGAAAUGCGUAGAGAUCAGGAAGAACACCGGUGGCGAAAGCGUUCUGCUGGGCUGCAACUGACACUGAGGGACGAAAGCGUGGGUAGCGAACAGGA